Molecule: ribosomal RNA, 422 nt
Filed under: uncultured bacterium
Lineage: Bacteria
Description: partial 16S ribosomal RNA
Rfam family: Bacterial small subunit ribosomal RNA
Source: RNAcentral
UAUUGGACAAUGGGUGUAAGCCUGAUCCAGCCAUUCCGAGUGUGUGAAGAAGGUCUUAGGCUUGUAAAGCACUUUAAGUUGGGAGGAAGGGGUUGACGCCAACACCUUCAAUCUACGACGCUACAACCAGACUAAGCAUAGUCAAACCCACUCCAAGCAGCAGCGGUAAUACAGAGGUUGCAAGCGUUAAUCGGAAUUACAGGGCGUAACGGGCGCAUAGGUGGUUCAGUAAGAUGGAAGUGAAAUCCCCGGGCUUAACCUGGGAACUGCUUUCAUAACUGCUGAGCUAGAGUACGGUAGAGGGUAGUGGAAUUUCCUGUGUAGCGGUGAAAUGCGUAGAUAUAGGAAGGAACGCCAGUGGCGAAGGCGACUACCUGGACUGAUACUGACACUGAGGUGCGAAAGCGUGGGGAGCAAACAGG